GACGAACGCUGGCGGCGUGCUUAACACAUGCCAGUCGAACGGAAAGGCCCUGCUUUUGUGGGGUGCUCGAGUGGCGAACGGGUGAGUAACACGUGAGUAACCUGCCCUUGACUUUGGGAUAACUUCAGGAAACUGGGGCUAAUACCGGAUAGAAGCUCCUGCUGCAUGGUGGGGGUUGGAAAGUUUCGGCGGUUGGGGAUGGACUCGCGGCUUAUCAGCUUGUUGGUGGGGUAGUGGCUUACCAAGGCUUUGACGGGUAGCCGGCCUGAGAGGGUGACCGGCCACAUUGGGACUGAGAUACGGCCCAGACUCCUACGGGAGGCAGCAGUGGGGAAUAUUGCACAAUGGGCGGAAGCCUGAUGCAGCAACGCCGCGUGCGGGAUGACGGCCUUCGGGUUGUAAACCGCUUUCGCCUGUGACGAAGCGUGAGUGACGGUAAUGGGUAAAGAAGCACCGGCUAACUACGUG
RNAcentral lists this ribosomal RNA (468 nucleotides) under uncultured bacterium. Its description in RNAcentral is "partial 16S ribosomal RNA". It matches the Rfam family "Bacterial small subunit ribosomal RNA", at positions 28 to 507 of the family's 1533-position model. The record is from RNAcentral.